CCUACGGGUGGCUGCAGUCGAGAAUCUUCGGCAAUGGGCGCAAGCCUGACCGAGCGACGCCGCGUGGAGGACGAAGGCCUUCGGGUUGUAAACUCCUGUCGAGGGGGAAAAAGGCCCCGCGAGGGGCUUGAUUGAUCCCUGGAGGAAGCACGGGCUAAGUUCGUGCCAGCAGCCGCGGUAAGACGAACCGUGCGAACGUUAUUCGGAAUCAUUGGGCUUAAAGCGCGUGUAGGCGGGUUCGUGCGUCCGACGCUGAAAUCCCCCGGCUCAACCGGGGAACGGGCGGGGAUACGACGAGCCUCGAGGGGCGUAGGGGGACCUGGAACUUCCGGUGGAGCGGUGAAAUGCGUUGAGAUCGGAAGGAACGCCCGUGGCGAAAGCGAGGUCCUGGACGCCUACUGACGCUGAGACGCGAAAGCCAGGGGAGCGAACGGGAUUAG
This 440-nucleotide ribosomal RNA is filed under the name uncultured bacterium. RNAcentral describes it as "bacterial SSU rRNA". It matches the Rfam family "Bacterial small subunit ribosomal RNA", at positions 338 to 781 of the family's 1533-position model. The record is from RNAcentral.